RNA transcript from Arachis duranensis, 1623 nucleotides. RefSeq lists it as uncharacterized. NCBI's taxonomy places the organism in Eukaryota, Viridiplantae, Streptophyta, Magnoliopsida, Fabales, Fabaceae. The transcript has 4 exons. The record is from RefSeq and is a predicted model, not a curated record.
UAACCCAAAUCUUUCUCUUUCCUCAGCCUGUGAACGCAGCCUCCACCUCAUUUCUUCCUAAACACAAUACACACACAAAACAGAGAAAGAAACGCAGAGAUGGAGAGGAAGAAAAGAGAGCUCGGAACCAGAGGAGGGAGCCACACCCAGCCACCGUCCAGCUUACAGCCCCAAUCGCGUAUUGUUGCGCUGUCAUUCACGCUCAUCGCCGCCCAGCCGUUGGUGCGAGCUCGCCGCCGUCAACGAGAUGCUGUCUGCCGUCACUGUCGCCGCCCUGGAUCUCGCCAUCGAGCUGCUUCACGGCGUCGUCCCGUCCAUGGAGCCACAAGCUUGCGUUAUUGCCGAUCCGUCUACAAGCCACCGUCAAGGAGAAGCUGCCAUCGCGUCUUGUCCCGCCGUCACCACCGUUGCCCUGGAGCUCGCCCGCCGUCGUCGUUGAGGGGCCAGCAGAGAGUCACGAUGGAGCUCCGUUUGUGCUUCUCUGGUCCGCCGAGAGAGGAGCUCAUGGGUUGAGGAAGGCCAGUUGAGGGAGAGAACGCUGUUGAGUGGGGUAAACGCCUCUGUCGUGCUUCUUGUCACUGGUGGCGGAGUCGCGUCGCCGUCACCCCUGGGCUGCCGUUCCUGCUGCCAAUGUUUCCUCGUUCUGUUAUUAUUGUCUAAUUGAGAUCAGAGAGGAGAGGAGGCGUUUAACCUUGUCAUUGUUGCUGCCAUGGAAAUAGGUGCUAGAAACUGCUCAUGGAGCAGCUGCGUUUAGCGAUUUUUGCGAGUUCCGACUUUGAGUGACACAUGUUCGAAGACUCAGUUUGAAGCUGCGAGUGAUUAUAUAAUUUAUUUAUGAGUUAAGUAGCCCAUGUCAGAGGCACACUCCCAUUCCCUACUUUGGUCACAGAGAUGGCUCAGCGGGCUGGAGUACCAUGGCUGCCAGAUGAUGAGUCGCCACCCGCAGUCCACAUAAAUGAGAGAGUUAUUCUGUGGGGGACUUGGGUGACCGACAAACCACCAGCACCGCGGAGAGCCCAAGCAUCUGCAGCAGCGACACCUAGGCCAUCUUCCUCUUCAGCAGCAGCACCUGGACCAUCUACACCAGUACCACCAGCACCACCACCACCACCACCAGCAGCACCUCAGCCGAUGUACCGACUUAUGCAGCACCUCAUUGGGCUCAUGGAGCAGAGUGAGCGUCGCAAUAGGCGACGCUAUGAGCGUUUGAGUCGGAUGCUGGCAUCAUUAGGUACCAGGAUGCCCUCUGAUUCUGACAUUUCUUCCAACUAGUUUGAGGCGAAGGAGGGGGUUCGGGAGAAGGAGGCUUAGCAGCCAGAGGCACGUUCACAGAUUUAGGCUACCACAGAGACACAUCAGGCCCCUGUAGAGUCAUAGCCUCAGCCUCAGCCAGUAGCAAACAUCGACCGUCUCACCCAGUCUCAGUCGUAGCAUCGAGUACGAUGCUGUCUUCUAAGUGUGGGGAGGUCGCCGUCGUCGACGUCGACAGGAUUUUCUAUUUUCGGUGACCAUUUUCAGACUCUCAUUUUAUUUAGAUUUAUUUUGUCUUAUUUUUAGUAUUUGCACUUUAUUUUAUUGCACUUUUGGAUCAUUAUAUAUAUCAGUUAUCUUGGAUACUUUUGU